CUAGAAUGGCUGAUAAAGGCAUUAAAUUGUAAAUUUAAUAAUAAUGAAAAGUUUUUUAGCA
RNAcentral lists this transfer RNA (61 nucleotides) under Chaetoderma nitidulum. Its description in RNAcentral is "tRNA-Tyr". The record is from RNAcentral. Lineage: Eukaryota; Metazoa; Mollusca; Caudofoveata; Chaetodermatida; Chaetodermatidae.